RNAcentral lists this ribosomal RNA (253 nucleotides) under uncultured bacterium. Its description in RNAcentral is "partial 16S ribosomal RNA". It matches the Rfam family "Bacterial small subunit ribosomal RNA", at positions 524 to 776 of the family's 1533-position model. The record is from RNAcentral.
UACGGAGGGUGCGAGCGUUGUCCGGAAUCACUGGGCGUAAAGGGCGCGUAGGCGGCCUGAUAAGUAGGGGGUGAAAUCCUGAGGCUUAACCUCAGGGCUGCCUUCUAAACUGUCGGGCUCGAGCACAGUAGAGGCAGGUGGAAUUCCCGGUGUAGCGGUGGAAUGCGUAGAGAUCGGGAAGAACAUUAGUGGCGAAGGCGGCCUGCUGGGCUGUUGCUGACGCUGAGGCGCGACAGCGUGGGGAGCAAACAGG